Molecule: ribosomal RNA, 503 nt
Filed under: uncultured bacterium
Lineage: Bacteria
Description: bacterial SSU rRNA
Rfam family: Bacterial small subunit ribosomal RNA
Source: RNAcentral
AUUGAACGCUGGCGGCAUGCCUUACACAUGCAAGUCGAACGGUAACAGGUCUUCGGAUGCUGACGAGUGGCGAACGGGUGAGUAAUACAUCGGAACGUGCCCGAUCGUGGGGGAUAACGGAGCGAAAGCUUUGCUAAUACCGCAUACGAUCUACGGAUGAAAGCAGGGGACCGCAAGGCCUUGCGCGGACGGAGCGGCCGAUGGCAGAUUAGGUAGUUGGUGGGAUAAAAGCUUACCAAGCCGACGAUCUGUAGCUGGUCUGAGAGGACGACCAGCCACACUGGGACUGAGACACGGCCCAGACUCCUACGGGAGGCAGCAGUGGGGAAUUUGGACAAUGGGCGCAAGCCUGAUCCAGCCAUGCCGCGUGCAGGAUGAAGGCCUUCGGGUUGUAAACUGCUUUUGUACGGAACGAAAAGACUCUUUACUAAUAAAGAGGUCCAUGACGGUAACCGUAAGAAUAAGCACCGGCUAACUACGUGCCAGCAGCCGACGGUAAAACG